Molecule: ribosomal RNA, 253 nt
Filed under: uncultured bacterium
Lineage: Bacteria
Description: partial 16S ribosomal RNA
Rfam family: Bacterial small subunit ribosomal RNA
Source: RNAcentral
UCCGUAGGGUGCAAGCGUUGUCCGGAAUUAUUGGGCGUAAAGAGCUCGUAGGCGGUUUGUUGCGUCGGCUGUGAAAUCCCGAGGCUCAACCUCGGGUCUGCAGUCGAUACGAGCAAACUAGAGUGUUGCAGGGGAGACUGGAAUUCCUGGUGUAGCGGUGAAAUGCGCAGAUAUCAGGAGGAACACCGGUGGCGAAGGCGGGUCUCUGGGCAACAACUGACGCUGAGGAGCGAAAGCGUGGGGAGCGAACAGG